UACGGGGGGAGCAAGCGUUGUUCGGAUUUACUGGGCGUAAAGGGCGCGUAGGCGGCCUCUCUUGUCGCGUGUGAAGCCCCGGGCUCAACCUGGGAACGGCGCGCGAGACGGGGGGGCUGGAGUUCGGGAGAGGAGCGUGGAAUUCCCAGUGUAGAGGUGAAAUUCGUAGAUAUCUGGAGGAACACCGGUGGCGAAGGCGGCGUCCUGGACCAACACUGACACUGAUGAGCGAAAGCCAGGGGAGCAAACGGG
This 252-nucleotide ribosomal RNA is filed under the name uncultured bacterium. RNAcentral describes it as "partial 16S ribosomal RNA". It matches the Rfam family "Bacterial small subunit ribosomal RNA", at positions 524 to 776 of the family's 1533-position model. The record is from RNAcentral.